UCUGCAGUUCUCUGCGCUGAGAUGCGCUGGUGUCGGGACCCUCCGGGUAAUUCACCUGUGUGCUCUCAUUGUUUGUCUUCAGCGUCCACCAGGUGGCGCUGACACCAACUCGGGCUGUGACUGGGUCCGACGUGGACAACGCCAACUCGUGAAGACCUCCUUCGUCAAGGUCCGACUUGAUGAAACAGUGUCGUGGCGGAAACGUGGCGUCGUCAUCGACUUUGUGCCGAGAGAGGACUACGAGCACAGCAUCCUGGAGGAGAAGCACCCCGACCGUCGGCAUCCUGCACCUGCCGGACAAGUUCUACAUGAACACACACAUUUUCAAUGUUGACACUUGUUAAUAAACCAAAUAAUAAUCAGCUUGACUGCUCUAUCAUUUUGUUUCUUUGUCCAGGCUUUUGCCUCGCUGCCCCAGUCCACUCGUGCCCUCAAAUUAUCUCAGACUUCGCAUGGCCUCUUUCGUGGGUGGUGAACCACAUCCAGAAGGUGCUGAAGCCACAUUUCGGGGCAGUUUGACAUCUGCACAGGGUCCAUCCACACUUCAGACAGUAUGCAAUUGUGACUUUUUCUUAUUUGAUCAAAUGUGUUCUUCUUUUGAAGGUGCUGAAGAACAUAGUCAGCUUCCUGCGCAUGCAGCAGUGUGAACACGCAAAGUCCCAGACAAACGACGCCUCAUGUCCUCUUCAUUGGUGGAGAACCACAUCCAGAAAGGUGCUGAAGCCACAUUUCGGGGCAGCCUGGGAAGUGGAGAGCAGUUUGACAUCUGCACUGGGUCCAUCCACACUUUAGACACUAUGCACUUUGCAAUUGUGACUUUUUCUUAUUUGAUCAAAUGUGUUCUUCCUUUGAAGGUACUGAAGAACAUGCAGCAGUGUGAACGUGCAACAUCCCAGAAAAAACAACGCCUUGUCCUCUUCAUUGCUGGCCUGUUUCAUCUCAAACAUAAUUUGCUACCAAAUAAAAACGUCGUUUGUUUGACUCACAGAUGUCUUUUUGUGUUGCAGGGAGGUGACGACAGACUGGUCCAUGCUGGCUUUGAAGGUCCAUUCCACAACACUGAGCUGAAGGUGCUGAAGCCAAACUUCGGAGCAGCCUGGGAAGUGGCAGAGCAGUUUGACCACAUUUGCAAGAGAUCGCAACGCAAUAAAGAUUCACAGCCAUGAGGAGAUGGUUGUCAGUGUAAUCCUGGCUUUUUUCAUUUUUUGGGAGUCUAAAUGUAAUCUAUAAGACAAAAAUGGUGGAGAACCACAUCCAGAAGGUGCUGAAACCAAACUCCAGAGCAGCCUGGGAAGAAGUGGGAGAGCAGUUUAACAUCUGCACUGGGUCCAUCCACACUUUAGAUGGUACUGAAGAACAUAGUCAGCUUCCUGCGCAUCCACCACUGUGAACGCGCAAAGUCCCAGACAAACAACGCCUCAUGUCCUCUUCAUUGGUGGAGAACCAGAAGAUUCUGAAGCCACAUUUCGGGGCAGUUUGACAUCUGCACUGGGUCCAUCCACCCUUUAGACAGUAUGCACUUUGCAAUUGUGACUUUUUCUUAUUUGAUCAAACGUGUUCUUUUGAAAGGUACUGAAGAACAUAGUCAGCUUCCUGCGCAUGCAGCAGUGUGAACACGCAAAGUCCCAGACAAACAACACCUCAUGUCCUCUUCAUUGCUGGUGGUAAACCAGAUCCAGAAGGUGCUGAAGCCACAUUUCGGGGCAGCCUGGGAAGUGGAGAGCAGUUUGACAUCUGCACUGGGUCCAUCCACACUUUAGACGGUGCUGAAGAACAUGCAGCAGUGUGAACGCGCAGUCCCAGACAACGCCUCAUGUCCUCUUCAUUGGGAGGUGUGACGACAGGCAGGUCCACGCUGCCGUUGAAGGUCCAUUCCACAACACAGAGCUGGUUGUCGGUCUUCCUGGCUUUUUUUUUGUUGGGGGGAGGAGGGGGCGUCAAAAUGUAAUCUGUAAGACAAAUGGUAAUUACAAAAAAAUGUUUGGCUCAAAACUGUUCUUGAUCAAGCUCUUUUCUUACGCUGCAUGUUGCUCCUUCCUCAGGUGCCCAACCACAUCCAGAAGGUGCUGAAGCCAAACUUCGGAACAGCCUGGGAAGAAGUGGGAGAGCAGUUUGACCACAUUUGCACUGGGUGCUGAAGAACAUGGUCAGCUUCCUGUGUAUGCAGCAGUGUUAAUGCACCAACACCUCGCAUGUCCUCUUUAUCACUGGUCCGCAUCCUCUUCCCACUGGGUGAUGACUUCCACCGGCUGCGUUUUGAUCUGGCUGGCGUUAAGACUGAGCUGGACAGAGACGGGUUUCGCCAGGAGACUUUCAAGAGUUCUGUCGACCAUGGUCAGCUUCCAGACAUCGCAGCCGUGUGAGCACUUACAGAGUCCCAGAAAACAAGUCUCACAUUUUCCUCCUCACUGAUCCCCACACACUGGUCCACACACUUCUGCCACCAGCCAACAACUUCACCAUGCGGCGACGAGGAGACCGUUGAUAUCAAACUUGUGAGCGGUUUUUUCCCCCCAGUUUACUUGUUGAUGUAAUGUCUGACUUAACAUC
This is a long non-coding RNA of Phycodurus eques (leafy seadragon), 2550 nucleotides long. RefSeq lists it as uncharacterized. The transcript is spliced from 16 exons. Lineage: Eukaryota; Metazoa; Chordata; Actinopteri; Syngnathiformes; Syngnathidae. The record is from RefSeq and is a predicted model, not a curated record.